GACGAACGCUGGCGGCGUGCUUAACACAUGCAAGUCGAACGGAAAGGCCCUUCUUUUGUGGGGUGCUCGAGUGGCGAACGGGUGAGUAACACGUGAGUAACCUGCCCUUGACUUUGGGAUAACUUCAGGAAACUAGGGCUAAUACCGGAUAGGAGCUCCUGCUGCAUGGUGGGGGUUGGAAAGUUUCGGCGGUUGGGGAUGGACUCGCGGCUUAUCAGCUUGUUGGUGGGGUAGUGGCUUACCAAGGCUUUGACGGGUAGCCGGCCUGAGAGGGUGACCGGCCACAUUGGGACUGAGAUACGGCCCAGACUCCUACGGGAGGCAGCAGUGGGGAAUAUUGCACAAUGGGCGGAAGCCUGAUGCAGCAACGCCGCGUGCGGGAUGACGGCCUUCGGGUUGUAAACCGCUUUCGCCUGUGACGAAGCGUGAGUGACGGUAAUGGGUAAAGAAGCACCGGCUAACUACGUG
This 468-nucleotide ribosomal RNA is filed under the name uncultured bacterium. RNAcentral describes it as "partial 16S ribosomal RNA". It matches the Rfam family "Bacterial small subunit ribosomal RNA", at positions 28 to 507 of the family's 1533-position model. The record is from RNAcentral.